GACGAACGCUGGCGGCGUGCUUAACACAUGCAAGUCGAACGGAAAGGCCCUGCUUUUGUGGGUUCUCGAGGGGCGAACGGGUGAGUAACACGUGAGUAACCUGCCCCCGACUUUGGGGUUACUUCAAGAAAACGGGGCUAAUACCGGAUAGGAGCUCCUUCUUCAUGGUGGGGGGUGGAAAGUUUCGGCGGUUGGGGAUGGACUCGCGGCUUAUCAGCUUGUUGGUGGGGUAGUGGCUUACCAAGGCUUUGACGGGUAGCCGGCCUGAGAGGGUGACCGGCCACAUUGGGACUGAGAUACGGCCCAGACUCCUACGGGAGGCAGCAGUGGGGAAUAUUGCACAAUGGGCGGAAGCCUGAUGCAGCAACGCCGCGUGCGGGAUGACGGCCUUCGGGUUGUAAACCGCUUUCGCCUGUGACGAAGCGUGAGUGACGGUAGUGGGUAAAGAAGCACCGGCUAACUACGUG
Molecule: ribosomal RNA, 467 nt
Filed under: uncultured bacterium
Lineage: Bacteria
Description: partial 16S ribosomal RNA
Rfam family: Bacterial small subunit ribosomal RNA
Source: RNAcentral